Non-coding RNA from Schistosoma haematobium, 45 nucleotides. Lineage: Eukaryota; Metazoa; Platyhelminthes; Trematoda; Strigeidida; Schistosomatidae. The record is from Rfam.
AUUCGGCUGGUGAGCCCCAAAUAGGACGAAACGCGCUUCCUGUAU